GCUCAGUGGUCUAGAGGCUAUGCGUUCUCGCGUGAUACCCAGGGUCCUGGGUUCGAUUCCCACAUGAGCGAU
This 72-nucleotide transfer RNA is filed under the name Schistosoma mansoni. The record is from RNAcentral. Lineage: Eukaryota; Metazoa; Platyhelminthes; Trematoda; Strigeidida; Schistosomatidae.